GGGAUGAAGGGUUGAACGAAGUAUUGACUUUUUUUAUUUCUGUGGAUGAAUUUAAUUUUUUAGUUAAAAAGCUAGAAUAGUUUUAAGGGACGAGAAGACCCUAUAGAUCUUUGUGUAGAUAUAGAUAAAGUGUAUUUUGGUUUUUUAUUUGAUAUUUUUAUUUGAUAUUUUUAUUUGGCUGGGGUGGCUGUGGAAAUUUUUAACUUCUAUUGGGUUAGUUCAUGGAUUAGUGUUUAUAUAUGAUCUUGUAUUAAUGAUUUUAAGAUUAAGAUACCUUAGGGAUAACAGCGUUAUCUUU
Molecule: ribosomal RNA, 298 nt
Filed under: Xenocaucus ethiopiensis
Lineage: Eukaryota; Metazoa; Arthropoda; Insecta; Hemiptera; Reduviidae
Description: partial 16S ribosomal RNA
Source: RNAcentral